This 200-nucleotide ribosomal RNA is filed under the name uncultured prokaryote. Its description in RNAcentral is "partial 16S ribosomal RNA". It matches the Rfam family "Bacterial small subunit ribosomal RNA", at positions 1183 to 1382 of the family's 1533-position model. The record is from RNAcentral.
CGUCAAAUCAGCACGGCCCUUAUGUCCAGGGCUACACACGUGCUACAAUGGUCGGUACAGAGGGCAGCUACCUGGUGACAGGAUGCGAAUCUCGAAAACCGGUCUCAGUUCGGAUCGAAGUCUGCAACCCGACUUCGUGAAGUUGGAUUCGCUAGUAAUCGCGCAUCAGCCAUGGCGCGGUGAAUACGUUCCCGGGCCUU